AAGCGGUGGUUGUUUUGUUUCACU
This 24-nucleotide microRNA is filed under the name Melibe leonina. Its description in RNAcentral is "mle-miR-12096b-5p". The record is from miRBase by way of RNAcentral. Lineage: Eukaryota; Metazoa; Mollusca; Gastropoda; Nudibranchia; Dendronotidae.